AGUGAACGCUGGCGGUAGGCCUAACACAUGCAAGUCGAACGGCAGCACAGUAAGAGCUUGCCCUUACGGGUGGCGAGUGGCGGACGGGUGAGGAAUACAUCGGAAUCUACUUUUUCGUGGGGGAUAACGUAGGGAAACUUACGCUAAUACCGCAUACGACCUACGGGUGAAAGCAGGGGAUCUUCGGACCUUGCGCGAUUGAAUGAGCCGAUGUCGGAUUAGCUAGUUGGCGGGGUAAAGGCCCGCCAAGGCGACGAUCCGUAGCUGGUCUGAGAGGAUGAUCAGCCACACUGGAACUGAGACACGGUCCAGACUCCUACGGGAGGCAGCAGUGGGGAAUAUUGGACAAUGGGCGCAAGCCUGAUCCAGCCAUACCGCGUGGGUGAAGAAGGCCUUCGGGUUGUAAAGCCCUUUUGUUGGGAAAGAAAAGCAGCAGGUUAAUACCCCGCUGUUCUGACGGUACCCAAAGAAUAAGCACCGGCUAACUUCGU
This 491-nucleotide ribosomal RNA is filed under the name uncultured bacterium. Its description in RNAcentral is "partial 16S ribosomal RNA". It matches the Rfam family "Bacterial small subunit ribosomal RNA", at positions 29 to 506 of the family's 1533-position model. The record is from RNAcentral.